Long non-coding RNA from Sycon ciliatum, 1064 nucleotides. RefSeq lists it as uncharacterized. The record is from RefSeq and is a predicted model, not a curated record. NCBI's taxonomy places the organism in Eukaryota, Metazoa, Porifera, Calcarea, Leucosolenida, Sycettidae. The transcript is spliced from 2 exons.
UACUUGACACAUUUAUUUAAUUCUUAACUUUUUCUCUCGUCCAGUGCUGACUUCAGCUUCCUUUUCCUGGUCUAUCGAAUUUUAAUGAUCCCUGUUUGGACUGGUGUAGCCAAUAGCUACAAGUUCAAAGCUUCAGGGCACCUGCGUGGAGCGACUCCGGAGUCAUCCGCGGCAAUCAUGAAACAAUCAUGGAUUCUGAUGUACAGAAAAGGGGAGAAGAGGAGCCCUGGUGACCAUGGUGACCACAGUUGACAGGUGACAGUUACGUAGCGCAUUCCGGGCUUGAGCUGGCUAGUGCUAAAAUGGAAGUGCUUGAAAAUGUCGCCCCAGAUCGAGCCUACCGGAACAGCACUCAGCAGACAUGCCAACAGUCCCGAGCACAAAAAGUACACCUGAAGGAUGCGUUGCGUAAGGAUCGUUACUUGCAAAACAAAAAGAAUACUGUCGGUAUUAUUUGUUGGACUGUUCAUCUUCAUAACGUUUCCUCAAUCCACAUCUCCAUUGCAGCGUUUUCUAUCCACUUGUAAACAACUCUAUCCCCGAACAAGCUCUCAUACAAGCACGACAAGAAUAAACUUCCUGCUGUUCAUCCAUUUCUUUAGUUGUUUGCAAUUCCAUGUACGUUUAAUGGAGCAGCCAUGUAUCAAAGCCUUUGUACUUCUUGUGAACUGUUGGCAUGUCUGCCGAGUGCUGGGUAGGCUUGAUUUGGGGUGACAUUUCCACGCACUUACAUUUUAGCACUAUCCAGCUCGCCAACAGUAUUGAUCUCUGCGUGCAUAGCCUUGCUGCAUUCCCAACUCACUCACUAUCCGUAUCCAUGUUCUGCUAUCCAUUCAUGCCAUGGACAUGAGACUCUUUUACGGGCAAACAGAAUACAAAACCAUUCAUACCGGUCUCAAAUUCACGAAAUGUUACAUAAUUUUAUUUUUCCCUUCAAGUAUUAAUUUUGUAUUGUAGUUGCAGCUUUUGACACUUUCCCCAUAUUCUCUGCAUCAACCUUUUUGCCACCAGCUGGGGGCGUUUCAACCCGCUGUACCCUGAUAUGUCGUUCGUUUUCGCCAGUU